AUGACUUUUGGUCCAUAUCGCCCAACCCUACCACAUUAUCUGCAUUAAAUGAUGCAAUAUCAUCUUUCAACUUUAAGUGGGCUGACAAAACUAAAUCGACCUCAUCCUGUGCCUCUCAGUUUUGGGUCCAGAAAAACUGUUGGGGGAAAUGCGCAUGAGAACUGGAGUCUAAUCAGAUUUUUGCCUUUGUUGAUUGGGCGGAGAGUUCCCUGUGAAGAGCCAGCUUGGCAGAUCUUAUCAGACCUAAAGGACAUUGUUGAUCUGGUCGUCAGUCCCAUUCAAACCCAGGACUCCAUUGCAUAUCUUGAUUUUAAGAUCUCUGAGCACAGAAUUAGAUUCCAAGAGGUUUUCCCAGACUGUCACCUUAAACCAAAACACCAUUUCUUAGAGCAUUACCCAUAUUUGAUCCAACAGUUUGGUCCACUAGUUUCCCUAUGGACGAUGCGUUUUGAAGCAAAGCAUAGGUUUUUUAAAAGAGUUGCCAGGAAUAUCAAGUGCUUCAAAAACGUGCUACUUUCCCUUUCAGAGAGACAUCAGUAUCAGAUUGCCCAUCAUUUGCAUGCAUGUAGCUUUACCAGACCUCUAUUGGAAGUGACAAAUGUUUCCACUGUACACAUCGAUGUUCUUAACAAGGACAUUUCAAAUGAUCUGAGACAGAUGUCUUCAGAUAUGGACACAGUGGGCUAGGCCAAAAGUGUGACAUUUGAUGGACUAAACUACAAGUGUGGAAUGAUCUUGAUCCAAGGCUCACUGGGAGGACUGCCAGUGUUUGCUGAAAUCAUCCAAAUGGUGAUGCUGCAGGACAAGUUGAUCUUCAUUGUGAAGAAGCUCAUUGGAUGGUAUAUUGAACACUAUAGAGCUUUUGAUCUCAAACCAUCCCCAGUCGAGGAAGUGGAACUUAUUGAGCCACAAGAACUACAUGAUACAUACCCACUGGCGGACUACAAAAUUGGAGGGAUGCGUCUUGUCACAUUGAAAAGAUACAUCCCUGUUUAAAGGAUGAGCCCUCUCCAUGUAAUUUUCUUUUAUUUUUUUCUCAAUACAUUUUAUUUUUUCAUACCGAAAGCCAAAGGUGGUUCACUUACAGAAGGUAAAUUACAGGACAUAAAUUAUGAGAAUUUUUGUACUGCAUGUGGGUGUUUUUUAUUUUAUAUUUGCCUCACACCUUAUUGUGCUUAUGCUCUCUUUUCAGACUGCCAUGGCUCAUUCCACAACUGCCAGACUUAAAGUGAUUUUGGGGGACAACAACAUUGAAAAACUGACACUUCCCAUUGGCAUACCAGAAUCACUAGAUUACCUUAUCGGCACGAUAAGGAGUACUGGAUUAAAGUGCAGCUUGAAACUGCAGCGUAUGGACCAAGAUUUUGGCAAUGAUUUUUUCAAUCUGAACUCUACUGCUGAACUUCAGAAUUUGGGGAAAAUGCAGGUCAUCCAGCAAACAACGUUGACCAGUACUGCUGCGUCCUCUGCUUCUGUUUCAUCCGAGUCGGAUGACUGUGUUUCACUGGCAUCAAACGAUACUAUACUGCUUUCAUCCCCCGAGUCUCUGUCAUCUCGAACCAAGCAGUGGCCAGAGGAAUUUCCAAUUCCUCAAUUUUCCUAUGACACAGAGUUGCAGUUAGUGAAAGGUAAUUCUGAGUGCCGGGUUGGAAACAAGUUGUUGAUCUUGAGCUCCCGAAUAAAAUCAAAUAUCUUGAAUAGAGUAGUUGAAGAAAUGUACCGAUAUAAGGCCUACCCGGAGGAUGCACAUUUCUGCAUAGUUGCAGAGGCCUUAAUGAAAAAGCACCCUUGUUCAAAAGACCCUGGCUCAUUCCAUGGCUGCUACGGCUGGAAACAGCGACUGAAGUACAAAAUGGGAAACUAUCGGACUCAACUCAACUCAAAGUGCUGGGGUGUCCAGAGCUGUCUAUUGAAGAUAGCAUCUUCAAAAGACAAUAUGGUUUAGUAGUAUGGUUUGCAGUCAAUGUUAAACAGCUCAAAAAAGCUGGACCUUGCUAGCGACCGGUUGCUUUGGUGAUCUAGGAUGACGUAGGCCUUGAUAGCUUUGUCUGGUUGACCUUUAGGACAGUGAUUCUUAACCAUAGGGCCGCGGCCCAAACUUGGGCCGCCGGCGCCCCCUAGAGGGCCGCGAAAAACUUUCAGUUUUGCACCUGUGGGCCCCAAGGGCCGUGGGACUUUGUAGAUUAUCAAGUGAAGACAGAGAUAUGUUAUGCAUGAGACGCUCAGUAACUUACAAUGCCGUUUUCGACCACGCGGUGGCGGUAAUGCAUCACGCAGUUGUUUAGGAAGCGCGAAUACACAGAGAAGAAGAGUCUUCUUCGCUCGCUGCGGCAAAUAUGGAUACGUUUUUUAAAAGAAAACUUGACGACGAACAUCCUGACCCCUCCACCCAAAAGACAAAGUUUUUGCGGAAAUACAAUGUCGACUUCAUUAAAUAGGGUUUCGUACAUGGAGGAACAGAGGCAGUGCCAAAAGCCCAGUGUGUGGAGUGUGGGCUAAUGCUGUCCAACGAAGCCCUCAAGCCCUCAAAACUACAGCGGCAUCUAGAGACCAAGCACCCGAUGCUCGUGGGAAAGCCGGUGGAUUAUUUGUUUUUUUAGAUUGGUCUUUUUUUUUUAAAUUAUUAUUAAAAAUCCUGACUUGAGUCUUGAAAAUGUUCUUGUCACAGCCUGAUUUGGUCCAGGAAUUAUCAGCCUGUUCAGUGUCAUGAUACAGUAUGUGUUACAUACACAUGUUUAAUAAAAGUCUUUGUGAUGACCCCAUUUUAUCAUUUCAUUUUAUUUUACAAGGUUUUUGCUUGUUAAACAGUAAGUGGAUUUGGUUUAUUAUUGAAUACAAAUUAAACCAAGAGUGAGGUCAGUUAAACCUAUACAGUGUUAAUAUUUAGUGGGCCCCGGGCCACUUUGUACUUUAAAAAUUGGGCCUCAAGGUCAAAAAGGUUAAGAACCCCUGCUUUAGGAUAUAGCUUCACAAGACAAAUCUUGGAACAUGACCAGCCAACGUUUCCUGUGCCACAGACCUCUGUGCAGUUUGAGUUAACAGCUUUAAUGGUGCUGCUCUCUUCCUCCUCCCUGCCGUUGUGUGGUGGAGUUGAAUGGGCCUUGACUUGAGGUGCAGGUCCAGGGUGCAUGGUAGAGUCGUGAUAGGUGCUAUCACACUCCAAACACUUAGCAAGGUGAGUAGUUGAGCCACAGCACUUAAAGCAGAUUCCUUUUUCUUUGAGAAAGGCCUUUCAUUCCCUGAAAUCGAAAUCACCGACGGAUGCUUUCCCUGCUAAAAAGGUGAAGGGACCAAAAUGAGCCGAAGCCAACUUCUAUCUGUCCUAUAUAUAUAUAUAUCUGUCCUCAGCCUUUGACACAGUCAGUGUUGCCAACUUAGCGAUUUUGUCGCUAUAUUUAGCUACUUUUCAGACCCCUUUGGCGACUUUUUUUCAAAACAGCGACAAGAGACAAAUCUAGCUCCUUUUUCAGCUGUUAUUGGUGACUUUUGGCGACUUUUUGAGGUGAAAGCACUAUCGCUAUUACCUCUUCACAACGAGCACCGGGUGCCUCCCCCGUCUCAAAGCACUUACAGGCAGCCCAGUCCUCGUGCAGCAGUCCCUCCCAGCUGCUCUGUUAGCAGGAGCUAACAGGAGACGUUCACGCCUCAGCAUCCGGGCUGCAAAUGAAUCCGCGUCCCGGCCAGCAAGCCGCCGCCGACUGAUCCCGGACCCUGACGUACAGUCAGGGCGGGAAAAUGUAAUAUUUUCUUUGUCUAAAUAAAAUAAUAAAUCGCUGUGUUACAUUGACUCACACUGCCUCAGGCUCAGUCACUUCACCUCACCUCGUCCACUGUGUGUGUGUGUGUGUGUUUACCAUGUCGUAGUCAAAACUUUACCAACAAAAAUAUAGGAAAGAGUGGGAAGCAAACACUGCUUUUAAGGGCUGGUUAAAGCCGUUUAUUGGAGACGAUAAACGAGCAUACUGUAGCUAUUGCAAGGUCGAUUUCUGUGCCAAACUCAGUGAUGUGAAGAAACACAGUUCAACCCAAAAGCAUAUUCAAGAGGCAAAGCCUUAAAGUUCAGCUCAAACAACGCUGCCAUUUAUGGUAAGCAAAAUUGGGACUAAGCAAAAAAAGAAAAUGUAGUUUUUUUUUUUAUACUUCCAGUUAUGCAAAUUAGGCGAUGACGUCAUCUAGCGACUUCUAGCGACUUUUAGGAGAGCCAAUAGCUACUUUCCUUCCUGAAGAGUUGGCAACACUGGACACAGUUGACCACAGUUGACACAGUUGACCACCAGAUCCUGCUGAGAAGACUGAGGGAUGAAGUAGGACUGUCGGGGUCAGUUUUACACUGGUUCUCGUCAUACGUUUCUGGGCGUAGCUUUAGUGUCACUGUUAACCAAAUAAGGUCUGAAUCAGCAGAUCUGUUGUGUGGAGUCCCUCAAGGCUCCGUUUUGGGUCCUGUAUUAUUUUUGCUGUAUUUGAUCCCCUUGGGAAAAAUCAUCCAGGGAUUUCCUGAUGUUUCUUACCACAUGUUUGCUGAUGAUAUCCAGCUUUACUGUUCCUUCAAGCCAACUGAGCUCCAGAGGCUAAGUUCCUUAAUUCAGUGCUUGGUGGAGAUAAAACAUUGGCUGAGUGAUAACACCCUGCAGCUUAAUGUGGACAAAACAGAAACUUUGGUUAUUGCCCCUGAUGAUUCCAUUCCAGGGAUUAAACAGUACCUGGGUGACUUGGGCCAGUCUGUCAAACUGAGCCUAAGAAACCUGGGUGUUGUGUUUGACAAAGACAUGUCAUUAGUGCAGCACUGUAAACAGCUGACCAGAAAUAGCUUUUUUCACCUGAGGAACAUUUCGAAACUCAGGAAAAUGGUGUCACAAAAUGACUUGGAGCUGAUCACUCAUGCAUUUGUGUCUUCGCGUUUAGACUAUUGUAAUAGUUUGUUUUCUUGUCUAAAAAAAAAGGAGCUGUCUCGCCUGCAGUUAGUGCAAAACUCUGCAGCGAGAGUUCUGACUCGCACAAAUAGGAGGACUCAUAUAACCCCUAUUCUUAAAGCUCUGCAUUGGCUGCCAGUUUCGUCCAGGAUCAAUUUUAAAAUUUUGGUUUUAACGUUCAGAGCUUUGCAUGGCCAGGCUCCGCCUUAUAACAGUGAUCUGAUCCAGCCUUACACCCUGUUACGCGCCUCCCCUUUUUCUUCUUGUUCCACCCGCUCUAUUUCUCUUCUGUCCUCGCAGGUGUUCCCGAUUCCUGGGGGUGGAGCUACGGCUACUUAAGGCGUGCCCUGUGCUCCCGACAGGGGUCUCAUUCUGGCGUCUUCACGUUGACCCGAGCUGCCUUUGAAUCCUGCUUGGAGUACUGCUAUCGUUUUCGCAUUUGUUUUAUAUAGCGGAGGAUGGGAACUGUAGGGAGGAAGUGCUGGCUUCGACGGCCCAUUGCGUGGCUGGCCCAGGCUUCGUCCAACCUUUUUGUUUCUUUAAUGAGUGUCCUUUUGUUGGAAGUUCUGUGAAAUAAACGUCACCAUCAUUGUGAACGGGAACUUUGGUCUAUGUAUUCUUAAUACGUUGCGGGUCGCCGGAUCGCGAGCCGUGUUGUAAGGGUGGCCGUAACAUAUUUGGGGGCUCGUCCAUACAAGAUUGUUAUUGUUUAUCGCACUUGCGUUGUUGGUAGGGUUCUAUUUUUUUUUUCUCGUCUCCCUCAACUGUGGUUUGAUUUAGUCGAGAUGGAGUUCGAUCUGGAGGGUUUCGUGGAUGACCCAACCAUUGAGAAACUGGAUGGGUGCACGGUAGAACACCUAAAGCUCAUUGCGGGGAGAUACAGUGUCGAUGUGAGUAAGUACGGCAGGAAGCCGAUAAUUAAGGAACGACUUUUGUCUGUUUUGGUUGAACAGGGUGUAUUGGCAGCGCAGGGCGCUAUUCCCCCUCGUGAACCUGAUGAGGCGGGGUUCAACGAGCAGAUAAGAAUGAAGGAGCUUGAGCUGGAGUUGCGUAGGCUGGAAUUGAAGGAGAGGGAGAUUUCCUCCUCGUUGAGAGAGGCGGAAAUUUCCUCCUCUUUGAGAGAGAAGGAGAUUUCUUUAAAGGAGAAGGAGAUGACCUGCCAUUUCGAGGUGAAGAAGCUUGAGGAGGAGACGAAGCGUGUGGUGCGGUUGAAGGAACUUGAGCUGGAGAUUGGCGUGGCUGUGCCAUCUCUCUCAACAGGUGGGCGUACACACUGGGAAAGCGCUGCUUUUGAUGUGACUAGACACAUUCGCCUGCUGCCGGUAUUCUCUGAGAAAGACGUGGAUACGUUUUUUAUUCUUUUUGAGCGUAUUGCAACCACGAUGAAGUGGCCUAGUGAUUUGUGGACGGUGUUGCUGCAGUGUGUGUUGACUGGGAAAGCGCAGGAGGUUUACGCGGCGUUGUCCUCUGAAACCAGUCUAGACUUCUACUUGGUAAAAGCUGCCGUUUUGAAGGCAUAUGAGCUUGUGCCGGAGGCAUAUCGCCAAAGGUUCCGUCGGCAUAGGAGGCUGGAGACGCAAGCUUAUGUGGAAUUUGCUCGGGAGAAGGAGGUUUUUUUUGAUCGGUGGUGUUUGUCACAAGGGGUGCAGACUUUGGGUGAUCUCAGAGCUUUGGUGCUGGUGGAAGAGUUUAAGAACUGCUUGCCUGAGAGAAUUACCACCUAUCUUAAUGAGAAUAAAGCUGUUUCGCUGUCCGACGCUGCGGUCCUUGCUGACGAGUACGCACUUACACAUAAGCUUGUGUUUGAAAGAACUGUGCCGCAAGAGCGGCAUGCUAAAAGCGAUCACGGGGUUUCUGUCCAGCCGGGUAGACACGGCGCUUCGGUCGGUGAGGAGAAGCCCGUUAGGGAAGAUAAGGGCACAAGGGAGCGUCCGGUGUGCUACUAUUGUAAGAAGCCUGGGCACCUGAUCGCUAGUUGUUAUGCUCUGCAGGGGGAUAGGCAACCUACGAAAACGGUGGUUUGUGUACGAUCGGUUAGACCUAAGCCGGAGGUGACUCCUGAGUGUCGGGAUUCAGAGCUGGACGUAUAUGCACCAUUCUUGAUGAGGGGGGAAGUGUCUUUAACUCAGGGGGGGAGUAAAGUGCCGGUGACUAUUCUGAGGGAUACAGCAGCGUCCCAGUCGUUUAUCCUGAGUGAUAUUCUGCCCCUUUCUAGUGCGUCCGGUGUGGAUUCAAGUGUAAUUGUCCGUGGUUUUGGGAUGCAGUGCAUGGGGUCACCGUUGCAUACAGUCUACCUCGAGUCAGAUUUGGUGACCGGUCCGGUGGUUGUCGGUGUUCGUCCCUGUUUCCCGAUUGAAGGAGUGUCCUUUCUGUUGGGAAAUGAUCUAGCUGGGGGCAGGGUGUUGGUAAAACCUGAAGUGACGGUGGUUCCUAUGGUUACGGAGAGUAACGAUAGGUUGGCUCAGAAGUAUCCUGGAGUUUUCUCUGCGUGUGCUGUAACCCGUGCGAUGGCAAAACACCGGCCCUCGGACGAUGAAGUUGGUCUCUCUGGCAGUUUUUUGGAUUUGACUGCUACACCUAUCUCUGGCCAGUCGUCUGGAGGGGUUGGGGAGGUAAGCUUUGCUGAAGUGUUCGAAGGGCGUGGUUCGCUCGUGUCUGAGCAGGGGGCCGACCCUGCUGUGUCACUUAUUUUUGAAAGCGCUGUUUCAGAGCAAGAGAUUGGGUCUGUUGCCUGCGGGUUCUUCAUUAGAAAUGGGGUACUCAUGCGUAAAUGGACUCCGUCGUAUGCACUAGCGGGUGAGGAUUUUGGUGUGGUAACCCAGGUUGUGGUUCCUCCUAAGUAUCGCUCGGAUAUUUUGAGUUUGGCACAUGACCAUCAGUUAGCCGGUCAUUUGGGGGUAAACAAAACGUAUGAUCGGGUACUGCGGCAUUUUUUCUGGCCUGGGUUGAAGAGGGACGUAGUGCAGUUUUGCAAGUCGUGUCAUGUUUGCCAGGUGAUUGGUAAGCCGAAUCAAACGAUCCCACCGGCGCCGUUGUAUCCAAUUCCGGCAGUAGGUGAACCUUUCGAGCGGGUUAUCGUUGAUUGUGUCGGCCCUUUGCCACGUAGCAAGUCGGGUAACCAAUUUUUGCUCACGAUCAUGUGUGCCUCAACGCGGUUUCCUGAGGCUAUCCCACUGCGUAAAAUAACAGCUCCGGUGGUGGUGAAAGCAUUGAUUAAGUUUUUUUCUGUGUUUGGGUUGCCAAAAGUCAUUCAAACGGAUCAGGGGUCAAACUUCAUGUCGCGCGUGUUUGCUCAGGUGCUGAAGCAACUGGCAGUGAGUCAUGUCCACUCGAGUGCGUAUCACCCUGAGUCGCAGGGGGCACUGGAGCGCUUCCACCAGACACUGAAGUCGAUGUUGCGAGCAUACUGUUUGGAGUUUAACAAAGACUGGGAUGAGGGAGUUCCCCUUCUGCUAUUUGCCGUCAGAGAGGUGGUUCAAGAGUCGGUAGGGUUUAGUCCCUCCGAGUUGGUUUUUGCUCACUCUGUGCGAGGCCCAUUGAAGCUGCUGAAAGAGAAGUGGGUGGGUGGUUCUGAACCUCAGAAUCUGUUGGAUUUUGUGUGUGAUUUCCGCUACAAACUGCGCCGGGCUGGUGAGCUGGCAAAGGAGAACCUCGGUGCUGCUCAAAAGAGAAUGAAGGGGUGGUACGAUAGAAAGGCGAGGAGCAGGAAUUUUGCUGCAGGGGAUAAAGUACUAGUUCUGCUGCCGAUCCCUGGGUCCUGUUUGCAAGCUCGAUUCAGUGGCCCCUAUUGUGUGGAAAAGAAAGUGGGUGACUUCGACUAUCUGAUUGCUACUCCGGAACGUAGCCGCAAGAAGAGGCUGUGUCACAUCAAUAUGCUGAAACCAUAUCAGGGUCGUGACGCGGAUCCUGGUCUGGGCGGCCAACGUCCAGCUGAACCCCCGGUGGAGGAGGUGGCCGACGGUGUCGCUAAACCCGGCUCCGCCUGUACUUUGGCGGUGUGCAGCCCUGGAAGUGUCGGGGUCGGGAUUGCGCUGGAGACGGGGGAGGAUGAUGUGGAGGUUCCGUCCAAAGCACUAGUGCAGGGGAGGCUAAAGAACUCUGAAAUGUUGACUGAGCUCGACGCUCAUUUGGCUCACCUACCUGACCUUCAACGCGCUGACGUUGCAGGUUUGAUCUUUUCACGCUCUGAGUUGUUUUCUGACGUUCCUUCCUGUACCUCAGUUCUGCAGCAUGAUAUUGAUGUAGGCGGUUCUCCACCGAUCAAGCAGCAUGCCUACCGGGUGAACCCGGACAAGCGGCGCCGUCUUAAGAAGGAAGUUGGGUACAUGCUGGAGCACGGGAUUGCUGAGCCCAGUUUGAGCUCGUGGAGUUCGCCCUGUCUCUUAGUUGACAAGUCAGAUAAGUCAGAUCGUUUCUGUACUGACUUCCGAAAAGUGAACAAUGUGACAAAGCCGGACAGUUACCCUUUGCCUAGAGUGGAGGAUUGUGUAGAUCGUGUUGGCAGCGCUUCGUACGUGACGAAACUCGAUCUGUUAAAGGGGUAUUGGCAGGUCCCGUUAACGGAACGUGCAAAGGAAAUCUCAGCCUUCGUAACGCCUGAUGAUUUCUUGCAGUACAAGGUGAUGGCUUUCGGGAUGCGUAAUGCGCCCGCUACGUUCCAAAGGUUAGUGAACACGGUCUUGUCGGGUGUACCUGGGUGCGAAGCCUAUUUGGAUGAUGUGGUGGUUCAUUCUGAUACCUGGCAGGGCCACAUGGAGCAGUUAAGUGAGGUGUUUGACCGGUUGAGCAAAGCGAAUCUAACGUUGAAUCUGGCGAAGUGUGAUUUCGGUCAGGCAACUGUUGUUUACUUGGGGAAGGUGGUGGGCCGUGGUGAAGUGCGAACGGUUCAAGCGAAAGUGGAGGCAAUUCAUGAUUUCCCUGCUCCUGCGUCUAGGCGAGACCUGCGUUGUUUUCUGGGGAUGGCGGGUUAUUACAGGGGGUUCUGUAAGAACUUUUCCGCGGUUGCGGCGCCAUUGACCGACCUAAUAAGCCCGAAGGUCCGGUUUGUGUGGUCCGAGGGUUGCCAGUACGCAUUUGAACAGAUUAAAGACCUUCUGUCGAACGCCCCGGUACUUGCUGCGCCGAACUUCGAGAAGCCUUUCAAGUUAGCUAUUGAUGCGUGCGACGUAGGAGCAGGUGCUGUCCUGCUCCAGGAUGGGGCUGAUGGAGUGGAACAUCCUGUGUCUUACUUUUCCAGAAAGUUUAACCGGCACCAGCGUGUUUACUCGACGAUCGAGAAAGAAGCCCUCGCUAUUGUGCUUGCCUUAGAUCACUUUGAGGUUUAUGUCGGGUCGGCAAGCGUUCCUGUUGCCAUCUACACCGAUCAUAAUCCCCUGGUGUACCUGAAAUCGAUGCGUAACACCAAUCAAAGGCUGAUGCGUUGGAGCAUUUUCCUACAGGCCUUCAACGUAGUUAUUAGGCAUAUUCGAGGCAAGGAUAACGUGGUAGCGGAUGCGUUGUCGCGCUUGUAAAUCAGUGCCUGAGAUUGUUGUGUUUUCCUUGUUUUCUGUGUUUUGUUUUUGGGAAAAAAAAAUCAAACUAGAGGAAAACACUAACUUAGGGUGGAGGUGUUACGCGCCUCCCCUUUUUCUUCUUGUUCCACCCGCUCUAUUUCUCUUCUGUCCUCGCAGGUGUUCCCGAUUCCUGGGGGUGGAGCUACGGCUACUUAAGGCGUGCCCUGUGCUCCCGACAGGGGUCUCAUUCUGGCGUCUUCACGUUGACCCGAGCUGCCUUUGAAUCCUGCUUGGAGUACUGCUAUCGUUUUCGCAUUUGUUUUAUAUAGCGGAGGAUGGGAACUGUAGGGAGGAAGUGCUGGCUUCGACGGCCCAUUGCGUGGCUGGCCCAGGCUUCGUCCAACCUUUUUGUUUCUUUAAUGAGUGUCCUUUUGUUGGAAGUUCUGUGAAAUAAACGUCACCAUCAUUGUGAACGGGAACUUUGGUCUAUGUAUUCUUAAUACGUUGCGGGUCGCCGGAUCGCGAGCCGUGUUGUAAGGGUGGCCGUAACACACCCCAACUCGGGCUCUGAGGUCUGUGGAUCAAAAUCUGCUGGUGUUGCCACGCACUCGUUUCCGGACCAGAGGAGACAGAUCCUUCCAGGCUGUUGCUCCCAGGCUCUGGAACGAUCUUCCGCUCACACUGCGUUCAAUGGAGUCUGUUGACUCCUUCAAAAAGCAACUAAAGACUUAUUUGUUUGCUCAUGCUUUUGCUUAGCUGUCUUGGGGCUGCUAUGAUUGUCACCUAGUUGUCUUGACCUUUUAAACUUAAAUUUUGUAUGUACUUCUUAACUGUGUAUUGUUAUUGUUUUUGUUUUAACUGAAGCGCCUUGUGACCCUGGUCUGUGAAAGGCGCUGUACAAAUAAAUCUUACUUACUUACUAUCAAUCCUUCCCUACUGGAGAAACUCAGGACAGCAUGGAAAAUGAGAGAAUAGAACUUCUGACAGAUGUCAAGAGGAGGAACAAUGAAAGGGUAAUCACGAAAUGGCUUGCACGUUUGCAGACAACAUGAGGUGGUCAACCAAGAAUCCAGCAUUCAAGACUGGUGGCCUGCCUUGUUACAUCAGAAAGAGGUAUGGUAACAAUGGAACUGAAAUUUCCUCUGAUUUGAACACUGUUUAUUGACAGAAUCUACAUAUUUAGUUAAACUUUUCGUUGCAUUGACAUUUUGCCUGUUGUGUAUGCAGGCUUCAGUGUUUACGUUGUUAAAACUGAGAUUGAUAAAACUGAGAUUGUAUGUGAGGUAAUUUGCAUUUCCUUUUUAUUUAUUCACUGUCAUUUGUUGUCAUUUUUUUCUGCAUUGAUUAUAGUUAGUCUGGAGCCCUGACCUGUCUUCAGAGAUUUUGAAGAUUAAAUUAAUCAAGAUUUUAUUGUCCUAGACUGAGGACAUUCAUCUUCGAAGGCAGUGUGUCCUGAAAGCCCUCAUCAUCUUCCUCGGCGAGGAUGCAGAUGACCUGAUCAAGGAAUAUCGUGUACGUUUCUACAGCAAUUUGCAUUUCAGCUCAUAAUUUUGAUCCUGUAAAACAAACAAUUUUGUCAACUAUAAUUACUGAAACCUGGUUGGAUUGACUUCAUGUUGUAUUUAUAAUAUAUGUAGUGAUUCUUGCUUAGAGCUACUGGUGAAAAGGUUGGAGUCCUGCAAAACAUAAAGACACAAAGUACUUGACCCUGUCACGAUACCAGGCUUGGCUAAUAAUGAGAUGUGUGGCUGAGCCUAUAAAAUUCUCCAAUCCAUAAAGCACUAUUCAGUGAAAUGAAGUCAAUGUGAUUUUGCAUUUGUCUUUUAAUGUGAGGGGUGAAUAAAAGUGCAAAGUGAUGACAGUGAUGUUUUGUGUCAUGUACUUCAGGACUCUGGACCAGAGGACAUUCAAAGGGACCUGGAGCAUCUCACUGUGGCACAGUUUGUCGAAAGGAUGGGGAAAGACUGCAGGAGCCACCUGAAGACAUAGGCAUUGUCAUCGAGGGCGUGAAGGUUUUGCAUGGACUGACUUCAGUUGCCUCAGCUUGUGCCCUGCUUCUAGGUUUGCUAUAUGCACUUAACCUAGCUUAUCCCAAACCCCUUCGUUUUACUUUCGAAGUGCUUCAGAAAAUCAUCAUGCACCUUGAGCAACACAAGAUGUCCCCCAAAAUCUGUAUGGCAGACUUCAAAGCUCGCAGUAAUGACACGCAUCACAAUUGAUUCCCUUUCUGGACCCAAAAAUGGCCUAGGGAAGAACAAUUUUAAGACAUGGGGCCUGUGGAACUCAAGCCUCUAGGUGUUUUUGCCUUCGUAUGUUUAAUGAGACAAUCAAGAGAGACAAAUAGUCUUCAAACCACAAGAUGAUAUACAUUGAUUUUGUUGCAGGUUUUUGGAAGAGCAGGAGUUUUCUUCUUUUUCUGUGGAACGGUUACAUUUUUGUUUCCAUGUGUUUUCAAAAUAACAAAAUACAAUUUGUGUUAAUGCUUAGAGCUCAAAUACCUUACUGAGGUGUUAAUGUUAGUGUUAUCCAUCGUAACCGAUUUUAAAUUAAGUGCCUUUCAUAUAUACUUUUGCUUCUUUUUUUCAAAAGUGGAAUGUUGAGAUACUAAGUUGUUCGAGUAGUUAAUUGUCAUUACAAAGUUGAAAAAUUUAGUUUUGAGAACUUAUAGGAUUUUCUUUUUUCAAAAACUGGCAGCUGCCAGAAUCAUUGAAAAAGGCUAAAGUACACUAAAAACUGGUUGUCCGAAUAUGGAGGGGGUCUUUUAUUUAUUUUUUGUUACUACCGUGUCUACAAGCUUUUGCUGCUAAAAGGUGUUCGAUAUACAGUAUGAAAGAUUUUGCUUGCCCAAACUGUUAUACACUUUUUAUGCAUUAGUAUUGUGAUUGUUAAAAUGCAUAUUUGCAUGAUAAGUUGGUGCCUACUUUGGACUUUAUUUAGAUGAAUAGUUCAACAUUUGUAAUGCAGCUUUUUGCCUCACACUCCGGCUCAAACACGGGUAGUGAAGGGGAGCAGGUCAAAAGAAUACUUUGCAAUAUAAUUUUGACUAUUGGUCCUGGACCAAUAGUAAAAAUUUCAGUGUCAACUACUCUACUUCAUCCAAGACAACCCAGAAAGGGGGCUCAAUGUGCUAUGUACAGGAAUUGUCCUUUAAGCUAUCCUGGAUGAGCGACCUGUCGACUGCUACAUCCAAAAUGCAUGCAGUUACAGGAAUGGUUAAGCAAUUCAAAAUGACUAAAAUCUUUUCGUAGUCUUAUCUGUAAUGCAUGUUGUGCAUAUGUGGUCAAAGUAAAUUUAACCUGUAUGCAUUUAAUGUGAAAUGUGUUGGAAGAUAUCGGCAUGUUGUGUUUCAUACUUUCAAAUAAUGAAGUAUUUAAAAAAAACAGAUUUGAAAAUGUGAUAUUUCUUUGAAAGCCAACUUACAUUUUUAAUGGUAAAAAAGUAUUUUAAUUAUGUUGAGUAAACUUACAUUUCACAUUAAGGUUACUAUAAAAAAUAUUCUUAACCUCAAGUCAGAAUAUUUGCUUCGAUCGCAACCCCAAGGCGCGGCGUGUGGGAUAGAGUGGAUCGGUUCGUCAAGGCUGCCCCUCCGGAAGAUGAAGUUGAUCAACUUUUCAACGAUCACGACUACUGAUCUGUCCCAGAACCGGCUGCCAUGGAUAUGGCCGCAUCCGCUGCUGAAAGCGUCACAAAUGAAGUAGAGGAGCUGAGAAAGGAGCUACAGGAGUUACUUCUCCAGCGAGAUUUUGGACUGCAACGGUUUGCUGGCUCCGACACAGACAGACGAUUUUACACAAGGGAAGUCAUUUCCAUUUUUUGUAUUCGCCUAUGUGAUAUUAGCUUUGUCCCUAAGUGACGGGGAUAUGUGCCAUGCAGGGACAAUUGCUUUACGUUACAGAUUAAUUUAUAGUACUGUACCAAAUUAUUUCUUAAUAGGUCUAUGUGAAUGAUAAAUAGCACACAAGUAGUGUCAUGUUGAGAGAUGGUGUAAUUCAGGACAGGAGUUGGGAAUGUCCAUGUCUUAUCAGAAUUUAUAUAUUUGAAUGUGACCGCACCAAUAGUUCACAAAAAAACAACAUUUAUAAUACAGAUUUGUGUAAAGACUUACAGAGACGUGUUGCCAGUUAAUGUCCACAAAAGUUUAUUUUUAAAUAGUUGAAAAAAGUCAUUAGUUAUUAUUCUAUGAGAGGAAAAUGGGAGCACUGAAGCGAUAGCGCCAGAAUGUGACCGUCUCCAGCUCCACCAAUGCUGGUCCUAGAACAAAAAUGCUAUUAAACAAUUGUAAAAAUUUAUGAAUUGAGCAGGUAACACCGUACUUAUCUGCAUGCAAGUGCACAGCAAACCACCAAACAGCGCCUCCUAAUGAUACAGCCCCGACAGGAACACUACUCUAAAAAUAAAGAGCACAGAGACCACAUUAGGGCAUUAGAUACCUAGAAACAUCAGGUCGUCUUAUAGGAAGUUGGGGCAGUUAUUAAAAUGCACCCAAAGAGGAAACUAAACAAACCUUUCUGUCAGCCGAGUGCCAGGGAUUAGUUACGGUGCCAUCCGGUAGAGCAACUGUUGCGUACUGGCCCAAGUCACAAUACAGGUUAAAGUGAGGUGACUGAGGCUGAAACAGGCAUAUGGGAGAAAUACAGGUCACCCUGCUACACACACAUUAUAUAUAUAUAUAUGAUAAAAUCGUAAUCUUAGUAGUUACUGUUGACAUUAUUUUGGUAACAAUGUAUACUUUUGAAGAUUUGAAACAUUUUAUGUGGUGUCUUUUGUGAAUAGAUUUGCCAGCUACGACCACCUGAUGGCAAUUUGGUCUUUGAUCGAGCCUUGACAAGAUGGUCCGUGUCUCCAGAGCCAAAUCAGCUGCCCAGAAAAAAGAAGUGGUCGCACCUGCACGUGCAUCAACGAGACAGCUGCUCCAGCCCAUAGAUGAACUCUUUCUUUUUCUGAACUAUCUUUCGGCUGGAUUGAAGGAGAGAGACCUGGCAAAUCGCUUUAAAAUUCACCAGUCCACAGUGAGGCGCAUCAUUGCCACAUGGACUUGUUUUCUGGCCACAGCACUAGGGUCUAUUUGUAUUUGGCUCACACCUGCAGAGGUACAGGCUUACCUCCCGGAGGAAUUCCGGGAUUACCCGGACACCCAGGUAAUUCUUGAUUGCACUGAGCUUAGAUGCCAAACCCCAUCCUCACCCCUCCUUCAAAGUGAGAUGUACUCUACGUACAAAUCCCACUGCACCAUGAAAGGCCUGGUUGGCAUAGCCCCACAUGGUGCAGUGACAUUCAUUUCCGCAUUGUAUGGUGGUUCAGUAAGCGACAAGGAAAUGUUCAAACAAUCAGGAAUCGCUGAGUUGCUGACAGAAAACAUGGCAGUAAUGGUCGAUAAAGGCUUCGUAAUCAGUGAUUGCUGCAAAAGCAAAGUUUACUGCCCACCCUUUCUGUCAAAAAACAAACAGAUGCCAGCAUGCCAGGUGAAGGAGACACAGGCCAUAGCCAGAUUGCGGGUGCACGUAGAGCGUGUCAUUCGGAGGAUAAAGGACAACCGGCUUUUUGAUGACCCCAUCACCCUGUCACAUGCGUACAAUAUCAAUGAGAUAUUUGCAGGUGCCUGUCUGCUUUCAAAUUACCAAAACAAGAAAAUGGGUUAAGUGAUUAUAUAAAGUUCUACCUAACAAUAUUAUUGCCUUUCAUGAAAUGCAGUAGAUCUGUCUGCUAGGAAGUAAGUAAAGAUUGACUGUUUAAAUGUUCAGAACACUUUACGUGCAGUUAAUGUUUGGAUUUUCAUAUGCAUUUGAUUUCCCAUUUGACAAAAAUAAAUAAUAAUGCAAUUGCUGAGAAAAAAAUAUAUUUAUGGUGAUUAUAUGGUCUCAUUGACAUUUCCAGGGAGAAACGGCACUUCUGGUGGUUUGGUUGACGGUGAGUUGCUGGCCAACGUGAGGUAAGAGCGCUGGUGAAGGUGAGAUGAGACUUUUUGUGAGUUAACAGAUUUUAGCUAAUCUAAUCUUGGGUAAUGUUUUUUACAUUUUCUUAAGACGCAGGUAGCUAGGCAUGUAAUAGUAGAAAAAGAGAUGGUCUGCCUUUUCUCGAAUUGCGCUCUGCACUUCUGGCUCAACAUAGAUUCUCUGCACUACGUAGUCUUCCUGCGCCCACACAACAAAGUCGCAUCACUGCAUUCCAGUUAUGAGCAGCUGGCCUUGGACUUGCCAAUAAUAAGAGUGGCUCUUUUUAAGUUGUGGCGAACCACCCUCCAUUUUCAAAUAUUUGCAGUCCAUAAAGUUGUGGACAUUGGGGCAUUUAAAUUCAACAAGGCCAAAUUGAGGGUAUUCGUUGGGGUCAAAAACAAUUCCAUCCGGGGAGGAAGCAAGCCAGGGGUUAGACGGAUGAAUGACAAGACCGCAGGGUGAGUAGUUGACGUUCAUCAGCUGACUGUACUCAGCUGCUACUGCAGGCUCCAUCUCAGCACCUCUCCUCAUGUCUGCUGUCUGCCGUGUGCCCUUAAUGAUGCGCUCUGCUAAUGCCUCUGCAGAGCUCUGGCCUCUGACAUGGCACACCUCACGAAACCUAGAGGUGGUCGCUCUGGGUCAGCGGAGCAGGUGCCACUCGGAGCAGGAGCUUUGCUCACGUGUAGCCUCCUCAAUUUUGUGGGCCAUUUCCAUGGUGACAGAAUGACUUUGCAAGUUUAGCAGCUCUUCUUCUGAGCACACAUAUGGACAUUGGGACGGUAAGAUGUCAUAACCCUCCAGAGGCAGACGGGGUGUUGGUGGUGUAUUGUGGUGGGGUGUGAUAAAGCGGGAUUUCACAGGAGGCUGCUGAUAUGACAACAUGCUACCCUUCUGCACUAACCCAAAGGCUGUUUCUACCAUGGGCUUGCCAGCUCCCAUGUUCAUUGUGAAACAAGAGGCUUGUCCUCCAGGUAAAAUUUCGCAUUGGCCUCCUCUACGCGAAGUAGGCAGGGAUCUGGCAAUUCUCCAACCAUGCCUCUGUAGAAUCCACUCCUACAAAGAAAUUAACAAAUUGCAACAUGUAUUUGCAACACAGGAAACUACAUUUAACAAAGCAAAUUACCUAACUCCAGUCUGGACCAUCCGAUUUGGGACAGGUUUCGUAAAAACCAUGGUAUUUACUGGUCCAGGCUUUACUCCCUGAGAAAAUAAAUGUUCAAUGGAGGGGUCACUUUAAAUCAAGACUAUUAAAAAAUUUAAUUAAAGUUUAACUUACCAUUGUUCACGGCUUGUGCCAUUGCUGCUCCGACUCCGUACAGCUAUGCACAGGGGGCACGACAGGAAGCUUCAACGAUGAAUAGUGUGCUGUCUGAAACAAUAAUGCUACUAAAUGGUUGCACAGAACAGUGGCAGCCACACAGGAGCAGUGGUGGUGACUUAGCAUCACUGGGGAUGAAUCACAAAGCUUGAUCUAAGAGAAAAGGGUAAAUCAUUAGAAAUUAUAACCUCAGCAUCAUGGGUGUAAAAAACUACCUGGUUCUUAUGAAGGUAAGCACUUGAACUGUGCUAGAAAAAGCCUACCAUCCUGAAUGCUUACUGUUAUAUUCUCUCCCUCUUAAAAUAAAGAUGUGUUUGUUUUUAAAGCGGACUCCAGGAAUCACACAAUUAUUCCACUGUACCUGUUCUUCUGCUUUGCAAACGACAAUAAAUAUCUUGAAUAUUGAAAAGUUGUAGUCUUGUACUCAUUACCUUGACUAAAUUAAUUUGUGUGCGGAAAAAAGGGAGACAUGAAAAACAUUCUAGUUGGUGGCCCUUGAGGACUACACUAAGCUACUGCUCAACCGAACAAACCCCACUGAACAGGGAUGAACACAGCAUCCUGCCUACACUCAAACUGUGUGGUGCCUCGCUCUUCCUCAUCGACCUGUAGCACAAGGCUCUCACGCUGACCUGCCUUGUCAGCUUGUCUUUAUUGGACACUGAAUUAAAUAACAUACAAAUUCAUUAAGCUUCAAUUGUACUGGGUUACGCAUCAUCACUAUCUAUAACAAGUGACUACAUGGAAAGUAAGGUUAGGUAGCUACCUAACGUUACUUUUGUAUACGCAAAACCGUGGCUAUAAAUUAAACAAAUAUUACUCAACACAACAGGCAAAAACAUCAAGGCUGAUAUAAAACACUGGUUAAGAAAUCUUGUUAGAAUUUGCUGUUACUGCAUCGUAAUACACGUUAGAAAGUGACAGUUAACUGACUGACUAGCCUUUGACAGUAGCUACUAGCUAGCGUCUGUUAGAAGUAGUUUUCUUACCUUCGUAGCUGUGAAUGUAGGUCGCAGCAUACAGCCUAAACCCCUUCUCCAAUUUGCUUGUCAGAGUUUUUGUUUCCCGACAUAAACGAUGCACAUCUGUGAUAUUUAUUGUCGGCAGGUCCUGUAAACACCGGGUGUAGAACGUUGCCAUCUUGGAACCGGAAGCUGUGGAGCUGUAUUACGGCAGGGUGCGGUACGGUUCGCCUCAGUCCGGUAGGGAGGGAGUAGUAUAGCCCAACUCAGUUCCGAGGUCGCAUUUCCACCGCCGAGAGUACCCUUUAUGGUAGGCCGGAUGUCGAUCGCCGCAGCAGCUACGUAAACAUCGUGACAUCAUAGCAGCGCGACACAGUGUAGCCUGCUCAAUAAAGACAAUGGAAAAGUUGAACGCGACACAUUAAACUGCACGUCUUCCUCCCCAAGAAUGCAGAAGAACGUCAUCGCCUCCUUGUUCACCCAAGCAAGCGUUUUACGCGACAUGUUCAUUGUAAAGAAUAAUAACUUGAGGCUACUGUUUGCUUGGUUUUUAUCCCCACGUCGCCCGGAAGUGACGAUUCUGUCGACCAAUCAACGGAGGGGGUGUGUAGCUCGAAUUCUCCGGCACCCUUUCAGGCGUCUCAGUACCCCAACGGAGGAGUACUGAAGACGAGGGAAAAACGAGUACGGCUCAGUCCGGGUCACGCCCACUUUUGGCGGUGGAAACGCAAUCCGUACCGCACCUUUGCGAACCGAACCGUACCGCACCCUGCAAUGGAAACGCGCCAUCAGCACCUGAGAUCAAUUAAGUCUGUGAGUCCUUAAGGUACGGCCACACUGAACACGUUA
Molecule: RNA transcript, 19464 nt
Organism: Gadus chalcogrammus (walleye pollock)
Lineage: Eukaryota; Metazoa; Chordata; Actinopteri; Gadiformes; Gadidae
Exons: 2
Source: RefSeq, a predicted model, not a curated record